This 71-nucleotide transfer RNA is filed under the name Loxodonta africana (African savanna elephant). It matches the Rfam family "tRNA". Rfam says of the family: Transfer RNA (tRNA) molecules are approximately 80 nucleotides in length. Their secondary structure includes four short double-helical elements and three loops (D, anti-codon, and T loops). Lineage: Eukaryota; Metazoa; Chordata; Mammalia; Proboscidea; Elephantidae. The record is from Rfam by way of RNAcentral.
GCAUGGGUGGUUCCGUGGUAGAAUUCUUGCCUUCCAUCCAGGAGACGUGAGUUCAAUUCCCAGCCAAUGUA